Ribosomal RNA from Cercocebus atys (sooty mangabey), 117 nucleotides. NCBI's taxonomy places the organism in Eukaryota, Metazoa, Chordata, Mammalia, Primates, Cercopithecidae. The record is from Ensembl.
GUCUACAGCCAAAAUAUAUUGACUGUGCCCAAACUUAUCUGAUCUCAGAAACUAAGCAGGAUUGGGCCUGGUAGUUUUGAAUGAGAGACCACUUGUGAAGACUGGGUGCUGUAGGCU